GGCGCGCUGCCCGGAGCUGCCUGGGUUGCGCUGCCGGCCACGUCCCCGCGCCGGGCCUCAGGCUCCUUCCUACUGUCCGAGGGCCACCAGGCCGCCGGGGGCCUGCUGCGCCCGGAUGCGUCUGUUACUAGAGUGGAGAGUCUACCUUCGUCUCACAUGUGCCACAAAGGAUGGCAUGGCCCGGGAGUGCCCCACCACGUGGCUUUCACCCCCUGCAAAGCCAGACUUCGCCCAGCGACACAGUGUCAAGCCCACAGCUCUCCAAGGAGGAAGAUGGUCCAGGCUGGGAGCAUCCCCUUAGCAGCAGCCUCUGGGAGGCUGUGUCUUACUCAUGCAGGGUGGUGGAGGGGCGCCUCUUAGCAGAAGAUGAUGAAAGGCUGUCCCCUCUCAGGAAGGAGAAGGUCCUUGUCUGUUCCAAGGCAAAGAACUGGACAAGAAGGAGGAGGUUCAUUCAGUACAUUGAGUCUGAUCCUCCCUGCUGUAGCUGGAGCACGGUCCCUGAAGCUGGCUGAAGUGCUAAAGCAGGGGCUAGCAAACUGUGGCCGAAUCCCACCUGCUGCCUGUUUGUAUAAAUAAAGUUUUAUUGGGACACAACCAUGCCCACCAUUCA
This 610-nucleotide long non-coding RNA is filed under the name Homo sapiens (human). Its description in RNAcentral is "non-protein coding lnc-KMT5B-2:5". The record is from RNAcentral. Lineage: Eukaryota; Metazoa; Chordata; Mammalia; Primates; Hominidae.